AGUCCAUGAUGUGGGACUUUCCUCAAUAGUUCCUUGUAAUGCUCCCAUGACUCAUACAAGGACUCCCCGUCCUGUUGAAAGAAGGUGGUGAUAUCAUUCCUCAUCUU
This 107-nucleotide small nucleolar RNA is filed under the name Nelumbo nucifera (sacred lotus). Its description in RNAcentral is "Plant small nucleolar RNA R71". It matches the Rfam family "Plant small nucleolar RNA R71". From Rfam's summary of the family: R71 is a member of the C/D box family of snoRNAs containing the C (UGAUGA) and D (CUGA) box motifs. Multiple nearly identical copies of this snoRNA have been identified in Arabidopsis, and it is thought to function as a 2'-O-ribose methylation guide for 18S ribosomal RNA. The record is from Rfam by way of RNAcentral. Lineage: Eukaryota; Viridiplantae; Streptophyta; Magnoliopsida; Proteales; Nelumbonaceae.